AUUGAACGCUGGCGGCAGGCCUAACACAUGCGAGUCGAACGGCAGCACGGUAAUAGCUCGCUCUUUCAGGGGCGGACGGGUGGGUGAUGCAUAGGAACAUGCCUGGUUGCGGGUUCUAACGUCCGGAAACGGGCGCUAUUACCGCAUACGCGCUGACGACGAACGGGUGGGAUCUUCGGACCUCCCGCUCUCGGAUGAGCCUAGGUCGGAUUAGCUAGUUGGUGGGGUAAAGGCCUACCAAGGCGACGAUCCGUAACUGGUCUGAGAGGAUGAUCAGUCACACUGGAACUGAGACACGGUCCAGACUCCUACGGGAGGCAGCAGUGGGGAAUAUUGGACAAUGGGCGAAAGCCUGAUCCAGCCAUGCCGCGUGGGUGAAGAAGGCCUUCGGAUUGUAAAGCCCUUUUGUUGGGAAGGAAAAGCAGCAGGUUAAUACCUCGCUGUUUUGACGGUACCAACAGAAUAAGCACCGGCUAACUUCGUG
Molecule: ribosomal RNA, 484 nt
Filed under: uncultured bacterium
Lineage: Bacteria
Description: partial 16S ribosomal RNA
Rfam family: Bacterial small subunit ribosomal RNA
Source: RNAcentral